UUCGGGACGCGGACGGCUCAACCUAUCUUGGCGACGCGGGUUUUGCUCCUAACCGGGCAGAGGCUGUGUAGCCAAGGCUUUUACCUUGAAAAAAUUAGAGUGUUCAAAGCAGGCGACCGGUUCGCUUGAAUAGAUUAGCAUGGAAUAAUAGAAUAGGACCUUGGUUCUAUUUUGUUGGUGAAACGAACCACGGUAAUGAUUAAUAGGGACGGUUGGGGGCAUUUGUAUUUAAUAGUCAGAGGUGAAAUUCUUGGAUCUAUUAAAGACAAACUACUGCGAAAGCAUUUGCCAAGGACGUUCCCAUUAAUCAAGAACGAAAGUUAGGGGAUCGAAGACGAUUAGAUACCGUCGUAGUCUUAAACCAUAAACUAUGCCGACUAGGGAUCGGACAGUGCUAUUUGAUGGCCAGUCCGGCACCUUACGAGAAAAUCAAAGUUUUAGCUCCGGGGGGGAGGUAUUGGUCGGCAAGGCUGAAACUUAAAGGAAAUUGACGGGAAGGGCACCACCCGGGAGUGGAGCCUGCGGCUUAAAUUCGACUCAACCACGGGAAAACUCACCCAGGGUCCAGACAUAGUGAGGAUUGACAGAUUGACAGCUCUUUCUUGAUUCUAUGGGUGGUGGUGCAUGGCCGUUCUUAGUUGGUGGAGUGAUUUGUCUGGUUAAUUCCGAUAACGAACGAGACCUCCCCUUGCUAAAUAGUAACGAGAACCUCUCCGGGCGAGACGGACCGACCGUGUGCACGGGCA
RNAcentral lists this ribosomal RNA (746 nucleotides) under uncultured eukaryote. RNAcentral's name for it is "bacterial SSU rRNA". It matches the Rfam family "Eukaryotic small subunit ribosomal RNA", at positions 672 to 1388 of the family's 1831-position model. The record is from RNAcentral.